CACGUAGGGGCCAAGCGUUGUCCGGAUUUAUUGGGCGUAAAGAGCUCGUAGGCGGUUCGACAAGUCGGGUGUGAAAACUCCGGGCUCAACCCGGAGACGCCACCCGAUACUGUCGUGACUGGAGUCCGGUAGGGGAGUGGGGAAUUCCUGGUGUAGCGGUGAAAUGCGUAGAUAUCUGGAGGAACACCGGUGGCGAAGGCGGCAUCCUGGACCGGUAUUGACGCUGAGGCGCGAAAGCUAGGGGAGCAAACGGG
RNAcentral lists this ribosomal RNA (254 nucleotides) under uncultured bacterium. RNAcentral's name for it is "partial 16S ribosomal RNA". It matches the Rfam family "Bacterial small subunit ribosomal RNA", at positions 524 to 776 of the family's 1533-position model. The record is from RNAcentral.